This 429-nucleotide ribosomal RNA is filed under the name Bacteroidota bacterium. RNAcentral describes it as "Bacteroidetes bacterium partial 16S ribosomal RNA". It matches the Rfam family "Bacterial small subunit ribosomal RNA", at positions 355 to 776 of the family's 1533-position model. The record is from RNAcentral. Lineage: Bacteria; Pseudomonadati; Bacteroidota.
UAGGGAAUCUUCCGCAAUGGACGCAAGUCUGACGGAGCAACGCCGCGUGAGUGAAGAAGGAUUUCGGUUCGUAAAACUCUGUUGUUAGAGAAGAACAGCGCAUAGAGUAACUGUUAUGCGUGUGACGGUAUCUAACCAGAAAGCCACGGCUAACUACGUGCCAGCAGCCGCGGUAAUACGUAGGUGGCAAGCGUUGUCCGGAUUUAUUGGGCGUAAAGCGAGCGCAGGCGGUCAAUUAAGUCUGAUGUGAAAGCCCCCGGCUCAACCGGGGAGGGUCAUUGGAAACUGGUUGACUUGAGUGCAGAAGAGGAGAGUGGAAUUCCAUGUGUAGCGGUGAAAUGCGUAGAUAUAUGGAGGCACACCAGUGGCGAAGGCGACUCUCUGGUCUGUAACUGACGCUGAGGCUCGAAAGCGUGGGUAGCAAACAGG